GGGUGAGUAGCUCAAUUGGUUAGAGCAGGUCCCUCUUAAGGACAAGGUUCAGGGUUCGAUUCCCUGCUCGCCUA
This 74-nucleotide transfer RNA is filed under the name candidate division SR1 bacterium RAAC1_SR1_1. RNAcentral's name for it is "tRNA-Lys (CTT) (tRNA-Lys-CTT-1-1)". It matches the Rfam family "tRNA". From Rfam's summary of the family: Transfer RNA (tRNA) molecules are approximately 80 nucleotides in length. Their secondary structure includes four short double-helical elements and three loops (D, anti-codon, and T loops). Further hydrogen bonds mediate the characteristic L-shaped molecular structure. tRNAs have two regions of fundamental functional importance: the anti-codon, which is responsible for specific mRNA codon recognition, and the 3' end, to which the tRNAs corresponding amino acid is attached (by aminoacyl-tRNA synthetases). tRNAs cope with the degeneracy of the genetic code in two manners: having more than one tRNA (with a specific anti-codon) for a particular amino acid; and 'wobble' base-pairing, i.e. permitting non-standard base-pairing at the 3rd anti-codon position. RNAcentral also lists the same sequence under 2 other names. The record is from Rfam by way of RNAcentral. Lineage: Bacteria; Candidatus Absconditibacteriota.